RNAcentral lists this ribosomal RNA (205 nucleotides) under uncultured Lactobacillus sp. RNAcentral's name for it is "partial 16S ribosomal RNA". It matches the Rfam family "Bacterial small subunit ribosomal RNA", at positions 157 to 355 of the family's 1533-position model. Lineage: Bacteria; Bacillati; Bacillota; Bacilli; Lactobacillales; Lactobacillaceae. The record is from RNAcentral.
CAGAUGCUAAUACCGGAUAACAANAGAUGAUGCCUAUCAACUGUUUAAAAAGAUGGUUCUGCUAUCACUCUUGGAUGGACCUGCGGUGCAUUAGCUAGUUGGUAGGGUAACGGCCUACCAAGGCGAUGAUGCAUAGCCGAGUUGAGAGACUGAUCGGCCACAUUGGGACUGAGACACGGCCCAAACUCCUACGGGAGGCAGCAGC